This 336-nucleotide unclassified non-coding RNA is filed under the name soil metagenome. RNAcentral describes it as "partial contains 5.8S ribosomal RNA, internal transcribed spacer 2, and large subunit ribosomal RNA". The stretch from base 1 to 120 matches the Rfam family "5.8S ribosomal RNA", at positions 35 to 154 of the family's 154-position model. The record is from RNAcentral.
GAUGAAGAACGCAGCGAAAUGCGAUAAGUAGUGUGAAUUGCAGAAUUCAGUGAAUCAUCGAAUCUUUGAACGCACAUUGCGCCCCUUGGUAUUCCAUGGGGCAUGACUGUUCGAGCGUCAUUUGUACCUUCAAGCUUUGCUUGGUGUUGGGUGUUUGUCUCGCCUUUGCGUGUAGACUCGCCUUAAAAUAAUUGGCAGCCGGCGUAUUGAUUUCGGAGCGCAGUACAUCUCGCGCUUUGCACUCAUAACGACAGCGUCCAAAAGUACAUUUUACACUCUUGACCUCGGAUCAGGUAGGGAUACCCGCUGAACUUAAGCAUAUCAAUAAGCGGAGGA